Molecule: long non-coding RNA, 828 nt
Organism: Oncorhynchus gorbuscha (pink salmon)
Lineage: Eukaryota; Metazoa; Chordata; Actinopteri; Salmoniformes; Salmonidae
Exons: 3
Source: RefSeq, a predicted model, not a curated record
CUGAUCCCCUGUCUUGUUUCUACAGUCCUCUAGGCCUCGUGUUCUUUCCUUGCACAAGAGGUUGGUACGGAAGUUGAAUUGUGCUCAAAGGUUGUGCCAUACACAGGUCCUCAAUGUGAGCACAGGAGAGGGGAUCCCGGGUGCGGCCCUUCGGUCUGGGGUGGUUCAGAGACGACUAGAGAAAUUACAAGGUUUCUCCAUUGUCCUGGGCCAAGAGGUCAUCAUAGAAACAUGUUGCCAGGACUGUCCGACCUCUUGUCUGCAUGACUAGGAUGACAUUCCCACUCCGCGGAUCCUCCAUCGGUCACUCCUGAAGCCUGUUGACAUCACAGCCUCCUUGGAUACUGUGCUGCUGUGUCCCUCUGUCUCUGUGUACAGCCCUGUAUACUGGGAACGAGAUGCACUGCCUCUAACCCAGCUGGACCUUCUCCAGAAGAACAGCUCCCACUCGCUGGAUCGCUCACGGGAGAAACGGCUACCUCAUCCACCACGCCUCUCUGUCUGACUCUGGAGUCUACUGCUGUUUUCAGGGGAGGGGGGGGGGGGGGGUACCUCCUGCAGGUAGAUGAGCAUGAACGCAUUCAGGUCCAGGCCCAAGUUGCGCUGGGCCAUACUGGCUUCAGAGCGAGUUGCCCUGUCUCUUCUCCUUCUCUGCCUUCAUAGUUCUAUUUCUGGUUAAAUUUGCCAGGCAAGAGAGUGGAAGAGGGGAUGACAGUCACCUAGGGAUAGGGGACCUUGCCAAUAUGUCUUCACCGACUACAAGUCCGUUCAUUUGAAGUUACUAUGGCCUAUUGUGAUUCAGCUAGGCACUCAAUGAAUAAAUGUGAU